AGAGUUUGAUCCUGGCUCAGAUUGAACGCUGGCGGCAGGCCUAACACAUGCAAGUCGAGCGGUAGAGAGGUGCUUGCUCCUUAUGAGAGCGGCGGACGGGUGAGUAAUGUCUGGGAAGCUGCCCGAUGGGGGGGGAUAACUACCGGAAACGGCAGCUAAUACCGCAUACGUCCUACGAGAGAAAAGAGGGGGACCUUCGGGCCUCUUGCCAUCGGAUGUGCCCAGAUGGGAUUAGCUAGUAGGUGGGGUAACGGCUCACCGAGGCGACGAUCCCUAUCUGGUCUGAGAGGAUGACCAGCCACACUGGAACUGAGACACGGUCCAGACUCCUACGGGAGGCAGCAGUGGGGAAUAUUGCACAAUGGGCGCAAGCCUGAUGCAGCCAUGCCGCGUGUAUGAAGAAGGCCUCGGGUUGUAAAGUACUUUCAGCGAGGAGGAAGGUAUUAGGUUAAUACCUGGCGAUUUUGACGUUACUCGCAGAAUAAGCACCGGCUAACUCCGUGCCAGCAGCCGCGGUAAUACAGAGGGUGCAAGCGUUAAUCGGAAUUACUGGGCGUAAAGCGCACGCAGGCGGUCUGUGAAGUCGGAUGUGAAAUCCCCGGGCUCAACCUGGGAACUGCAUUCUAAACUGGCAGGCUAGAGUCUUGUAGAGGGGGGUAGAAUUCCACGUGUAGCGGUGAAAUGCGUAGAGAUCUGAAGGAAUACCGGUGGCGAAGGCGGCCCCCUGGACUGAGACUGACACUCAGGUGCGAAAGCGUGGGGAGCAAACAGGAUUAGAUACCCUGGU
RNAcentral lists this ribosomal RNA (787 nucleotides) under bacterium GP2. Its description in RNAcentral is "bacterial SSU rRNA". It matches the Rfam family "Bacterial small subunit ribosomal RNA", at positions 8 to 791 of the family's 1533-position model. The record is from RNAcentral.